CCCGCUCAGAAACUUAAAUGAAUUGACGGGGCCCGCACAAGCGGUGGAGCAUGUGGUUUAAUUCGAUGAUACGCGAGGAACCUUACCUGGGCUCAAAUGUAUGUUGACGUAUUCUGAAAGGGAUACUUCUUCGGACAAUAUACAAGGUGCUGCAUGGUUGUCGUCAGCUCGUGCCGUGAGGUGUCGGGUUAAGUCCCAUAACGAGCGCAACCCCUAUCAUUAGUUGCCAUCAGGUCAAGCUGGGGACUCUAAUGAAACUGCCUACGCAAGUAGUGAGGAAGGUGGGGAUGACGUCAAAUCAGCACGGCCCUUACGUCCAGGGCUACACACGUGCUACAAUGGCCGGUACAAAGGGCAGCUACCUGGUGACAGGAUGCUAAUCUCAAAAGCCGGUCUCAGUUCGGAUCGGAGUCUGCAACCCGACUCCGUGAGGCUGGAAUCGCUAGUAAUCGCGCAUCAGCCAUGGCGCGGUGAAUACGUUCCCGGGCCUU
This 491-nucleotide ribosomal RNA is filed under the name uncultured Sphingobacteriales bacterium. RNAcentral's name for it is "bacterial SSU rRNA". It matches the Rfam family "Bacterial small subunit ribosomal RNA", at positions 888 to 1382 of the family's 1533-position model. The record is from RNAcentral. Lineage: Bacteria; Pseudomonadati; Bacteroidota; Sphingobacteriia; Sphingobacteriales.